AUUGAACGCUGGCGGCAGGCCUAACACAUGCAAGUCGAGCGGAUGAAGGGAGCUUGCUCCUGGAUUCAGCGGCGGACGGGUGAGUAAUGCCUAGGAAUCUGCUUGGUAGUAGGGGAUAACGUCCGGAAACGGGCGCUAAUACCGCAUACGUCCUGAGGGAGAAAGUGGGGGAUCUUCGGACCUCACGCUAUCAGAUGAGCCUAGGUCGGAGUAGCUAGGUGGUGGGGUAAAGGCCUACCAAGGCGGCGAUCCGUAACUGGUCGGAGAGGAUGAUCAGUCACCCUGGAGCGGGGACACCGACCCGACGCCUACGGGACGCAGCAGUCGGGAAUAUUGGGCAGUGGGCGAGAGCCUGAUACAGCGAUGCCGCGUGUGUGAAGAAGGUCUUCGGAUUGUAAAGCCCUUUAAGUUGGGAGGAAGGGCAGUCAGUUAAUACCUUGCUGUUUUGACGUUACCAACAGAAGAAGCACCGGCUAACUUCGUG
RNAcentral lists this ribosomal RNA (484 nucleotides) under uncultured bacterium. RNAcentral's name for it is "partial 16S ribosomal RNA". It matches the Rfam family "Bacterial small subunit ribosomal RNA", at positions 30 to 507 of the family's 1533-position model. The record is from RNAcentral.